AUGAACGCUGGCGGCGUGCCUAAUACAUGCAAGUCGAGCGAACAGAUGAGGAGCUUGCUCCUCUGACGUUAGCGGCGGACGGGUGAGUAACACGUGGAUAACCUACCUAUAAGACUGGGAUAACUUCGGGAAACCGGAGCUAAUACCGGAUAAUAUAUUGAACCGCAUGGUUCAAUAGUGAAAGACGGUUUUGCUGUCACUUAUAGAUGGAUCCGCGCCGCAUUAGCUAGUUGGUAAGGUAACGGCUUACCAAGGCAACGAUGCGUAGCCGACCUGAGAGGGUGAUCGGCCACACUGGAACUGAGACACGGUCCAGACUCCUACGGGAGGCAGCAGUAGGGAAUCUUCCGCAAUGGGCGAAAGCCUGACGGAGCAACGCCGCGUGAGUGAUGAAGGUCUUCGGAUCGUAAAACUCUGUUAUUAGGGAAGAACAAAUGUGUAAGUAACUAUGCACGUCUUGACGGUACCUAAUCAGAAAGCCACGGCUAACCACGUG
RNAcentral lists this ribosomal RNA (496 nucleotides) under uncultured bacterium. RNAcentral's name for it is "partial 16S ribosomal RNA". It matches the Rfam family "Bacterial small subunit ribosomal RNA", at positions 29 to 507 of the family's 1533-position model. The record is from RNAcentral.